GUUGGCGGCAUGGAUUAGGCAUGCAAGUCGCACGAAUCCCAGCAAUGGGGGAAGUGGCGUAAGGGGCAGUAAGGCAUGGGUCACCUACCCGGGGGUUGGGCAUAGCCUGUCGAGAGACAGGGUAAUUCCCGAUGAUGUCGUAAGACCAAAGCUCCGGUGCCCUCGGAGGGGCCCAUGUGGUAUUAGCUAGUUGGUGGGGUAACGGCCCACCAAGGCGAAGAUGCCUAGCGGGUGUGAGAGCACGACCCGCGCCACUGGCACUGAGACACUGGCCAGACACCUACGGGUGGCUGCAGUCGAGAAUCUUCGGCAAUGGGCGCAAGCCUGACCGAGCGAUGCCGCGUGGGCGAUGAAGGCCUUCGGGUUGUAAAGCCCUGUCGAGGGGGAGAAAAGGGCAACCUUGAUCUAUCCCUGGAGGAAGGACGGGCUAAGUUCGUGCCAGCAGCCGCGGUAAGACGAACCGUCCGAACGUUAUUCGGAAUCACUGGGCUUAAAGGGCGCGUAGGCGGGCCGCCAAGUCCGGGGUGAAAUCCUCCAGCUUAACUGGAGAACGGCCCCGGAUACUGGAGGUCUCGAGGGGGAUAGGGGCACACGGAACUUAUGGUGGAGCGGUGAAAUGCGUUGAUAUCAUAAGGAACUCCGGUGGCGAANGCGGUGUGCUGGAUCCCUUCUGACGCUGAGGCGCGAAAGCCAGGGGAGCAAACGGGAUUAGAUACCCCGGUAGUCCUGGCCCUAAACGUUGAGAACUAGGUAGUAGACUUGACAUGGGUUUACUGCCGAAGCAAAAGUGUUAAGUUCUCCGCCUGGGGAGUAUGGUCGCAAGGCUGAAACUCAAA
Molecule: ribosomal RNA, 836 nt
Filed under: uncultured bacterium
Lineage: Bacteria
Description: bacterial SSU rRNA
Rfam family: Bacterial small subunit ribosomal RNA
Source: RNAcentral